UUUUUUUUAAUUAAUUUUUUUUUUUACUUACUCAUUUUAUAUCCUACUCCCAGGUAUAAAAUGAAUAAGUAAAAAAAUUGUGGAGGGGGCUCCCUCCUGGUCACCCCCUUCCACAAUCCUUCCUCCAUUCCUCUUCCUCUUCUCCUGGGAGCGGGUGGGGCCCCCCUGGGUGUCCGCUGACCCCGGCACUUCAAGUCUCUGAGAGACUAGGCACUUCCUUUCCCCAUUGAGGCCAGACAAGGCAGCCCAGUUAGAAGAACACCUCCCAUGUACAGGCAAUAGCUUCUGGGAUAGAGCCCAGCCCAGUUGUUUGGAACCCACGUGAAGACCAAGCUGCACAUCAGCCAAAUAUGUGCAGGGAGCCCUAGGUUCAGCCUGUGUAUGUUCUUUGGUUGGUGGUUCAGUCUCUGAGAGCCGCAAGGGUCCAGGUUAGUUGAUUCUGUUGGUCUUCCUGAGGAGUUCCUAUCCCCUUCAGGACCAGUAAUCCUUCCUCCUGUUUUUCCGUAAUGUCCCCAAGCUCCAUCCACUGUUGGGCUGUGGGUGUCUGCAUGCAUCUGAGUCAGCUGCUGGGUGGAGCCUCUCAGAGGACAGCAUGCUCCUGUCUGCAAGCAUUAACAGAGCAUCCUCAAUAGUGUUAGGGGUUGGUGCCUGCCUAUGGGAUGGAUUUCAAGUUGAGGACACACCUGUCUUCAAUCCUAAGUCACAGGUGGAGUUUCUGAAUAUCUGAAUUUUAAAAUUCCCUAUCUCCAGUUAGUUAGUAUCAAAAAGCCGAGAGGCCGUCACAAGAGGAUGUGAACACAUAACAAGUUCCGGGACAUGUACUGCCAGUCCUGAGAUUUCCCGUGGGUUGGUCCAAUGUGAGCUGUCAAAAAAGGUAGAAAAUAUGAAGCCAAUGAAAUAGAAAAUAUAAAUAUUAUAUUAGACUCUUUCACCAUUCAAAAAUAUUCCUACAAGGGCCAUUUCAACUAAAAUGCUUCUAUAAUACAUUCAGAACACGUGUUGGCUCACCAUCUAGAUUGCUGAAAGAUAUUGGCAAACUAUUUUUCAAAGAGGUAUCUUGGGUCUUGUGUUGUUUACCAGAAGACAACUUGUAUAAGGCCCAAAAUACCCACAUUUCAAUACUUCAGUAUCUUGGAAAAGUGCUAAGUACCUAUCUUCACUACUAACUGGGAAAUUUCAGUUCUUUUGAAGUCAACAAACAUACAAUGAGGAUUUACUGAAUGAUAGAAAAACAUGGAGGGCUUUGAACAGUAUGACCCUAAAGCAUUUAAACUUCACUCUGAAUGUUGGAUAAGCCAUUGAAGGCGGGAUGGAUGCUGGUAGAUUUCCCCCUUUAGGAAGAUUGCCUGCAGGGAAUAGAUGCGUAGGAAGAAAGGAAGGGUGCCACGGAGUCUAGAAGUCCAGCCAAUAGACUGUUCCAGCAUUUGGAGCUGGAGAGAAUGAGACAGACUUGGCAAUGCAGGAGGUCAAUAUGGAGGAGGCUGCAAAUGUGGAUAUGGUGAACACAUAGUUUACUUUCCCUGGCUAGAUGGUUCACAUCAAAAUAGAACACUUUAAUAAGGACCCCUGAACCAUCUAUUAGCCCAAACUGAAAGUGCCCUAGACAACAUGUAUCAGAGGGGAAUGGAAUGUAAGGGUGAAACGUCUGACGGUAGAUACUCGGUAGUAGAUGAUCCCAAUCAAAGAUGAUGUCCAGAGGACUUGAGGUUAUCUUAGAUUUGGGAUCUAAAACAUGGAGACAAUGUAACUAUUUUUAAAACCGAGGUGGGGGAAGUAUGAGUUACAUCUGACCCCCUGACACACUAACCUACCUAGAGCAUGAGUAUAUAACAAGUGUUAUUUUCACUUAUUCUCUUUGUUUUUCAUUGUUUCUUUUCCAAUCAGCAAAUUGCAUUUUAAAUAGACCUGGGUAGGCAGGAACUAAUGAUAUAAUUUAGAAGUGUAAAUAUUCUCAUUACCCCCCUACCGUCCGCAGCAUUUGUCUUUGGAGCUUUCCGGAGCAGUUGGCAAGCCCUUCCCUUUAGCACCAUGGUAGGGUUCCUUUAAAUCCGUUUCCAGAAAAUCUAUUGUCUGGGGAAUCACAUAGGGAGAUGAGAAGUUUUAAAAACCUGGUCUUCUAAAACUCCAGGCGUAGUCUGAUUUCCAAUAUAAAAACAAAAGUUGCCAUUCUGUGGGGUGUUUAAAGUAAUACGAGGCUGGUAUAAGAGGCUCAGUGUGUUGGGCUGGACAGCAGUAUUGUUAUGGCUCCCUCCUGUGCAGGCACUUUGGAUGUUUGCUUUGUGUUGAGACGAUUGUCUCUGGGAUUGUAAAUUACUUAGGCAGCCUCAUCACAGUCAAUUAAAUUCAACAUCCAAUUUUCAUCAAGGUUUUCCUUUUAUCUAAUUCUACUGUGCAGCGGAUUGAGGCUUGUGGAGGUCAAGUACCUUGGCUAAGGUCAUCUGGCAUGUUAAUGUCUUAGCUUAGGUAAGUUUAGACCCUGUUGAUUCCAUGAUUCAUUCACCUGUCUGCUAAUUAGCACCUCUCCAUCCUUGUUGCUUAGCUUGUGAACUGCCUGUUUUAAGAGUUCUCAACACCCAGUGGGAUUUAUGGGAAAUCUGUAAGCUCAUGAAUUAUCUUUUAUCUGGAAAAUAAGAAAAUAGAAAUCAAUUAUGAUAAUAUCUGGUGUGCAGGAAGGGGGUCUCUAGGGAUUUGAUAACCCCUGCCAGCAAAAUCAACACUGGGCUACUUGGGUCCUUGACUAUAGUUGAAUGAUAAUCCAUAUACUAUGUGGUAUUCAAGGCUGGCAUGGUGGAAGGUGGGAAGGCCUGCAAGUGAAUUACUUCAUUCCAGGGGCAUGAAGUUUUCCAGGGCACAAAUAUUCUGCAUUCAUUUCCUAGAGCCUGCUGGAAGUGUGGCGUAGCUGUUCUGUUGAUGUCGGGGGAGGGAAUUGUCUACAAAGACACAAAUAUGAAGCUUACAGGAAUCCAGCUGAGACAUGAUUCCAGAAGGGUUAGACAACUGGAUCCUGUAGUUAAUUAACCCUCUUCGACUUCAUCCUUCUAGAAUUUGCUAAGACGCAAAACACACAGAGAGUUUCUUGGUUGUAAUUUAAUCGACGAAACUAAGUUACAUACCAUGAACGUAAUGGUGGGUACACUGUAAUUAUAUAACUUUUGAGGAAUGAAAUCAUCUAAAAGCUUGGGCGCAAGCUAUGUUUUUAUUUUUUGCCCACCCCUGGGAAACUGUUUCCUGUCUUGGUUUUCCCUUUGGUGAAUAACACUUUGCUUUUUUAUUUCUAAGGCACUCUUUCUUCUCCUCUGUCAUCACUGCUCACCCAUCACCCUGGCUGGGAAGAUGCUGGCAGUGUUAAUGCAGUGAGCCAGUUAAUCACCUAGCUCAGCAGAGAUGCAGGGCUGCUUCGUGGGCUGGCCCUAAAGACAUGAUUUAAAACAAUGCCUUAAAAAGAUUAUCAAACAAAGGGGAGCAUUUAGUGAGCUGUUAAGCGGACGAGAAAUCCCCAGGAAGGAGAAAGGGACAGCCUUUAUCUUGCCAGAAGGGCAAAUGGUAAAGGUGAAGUGUCAACUGAGACACAUUUAUGUCAGUUUGAGUGACUAAAGGCCAAUUUGGCACCCCGUGUGUUUGGAUCAUAAGCUGUAAAAUGCAUGACCUUGUUUCCUGCUGCUGAUUUAUGGCUCUGUACACUUUGGGCUUUUUCUUUUCAUUCCUGGAAG
RNAcentral lists this long non-coding RNA (3710 nucleotides) under Mus musculus (house mouse). RNAcentral's name for it is "long non-coding RNA chr3:53098999-53102709". The record is from RNAcentral. Lineage: Eukaryota; Metazoa; Chordata; Mammalia; Rodentia; Muridae.